RNAcentral lists this transfer RNA (65 nucleotides) under Dipodomys ordii (Ord's kangaroo rat). It matches the Rfam family "tRNA". From Rfam's summary of the family: Transfer RNA (tRNA) molecules are approximately 80 nucleotides in length. Their secondary structure includes four short double-helical elements and three loops (D, anti-codon, and T loops). Lineage: Eukaryota; Metazoa; Chordata; Mammalia; Rodentia; Heteromyidae. The record is from Rfam by way of RNAcentral.
GGUGGCUCAGUGGUAGAGCACUUGCCUUGCAUGCAUAAGGCUCUGGGUUCAAUUCCUCAGCACCA